Molecule: long non-coding RNA, 518 nt
Filed under: Homo sapiens (human)
Lineage: Eukaryota; Metazoa; Chordata; Mammalia; Primates; Hominidae
Description: non-protein coding lnc-NKIRAS1-4:1
Source: RNAcentral
UUGGGAAAUGGACUAUCAGACCACACUUCUAUCCUGUCCAGUCGGCCUUCAUUUCAGUCUUUCCACACUGUUUUCCUGGGUUUGUACUGUGCUAGCAAGACAACUGUCUUAUACAGGCUGCAGCUCAUGAAUUUGUAAAUACUGUACCUACCAAAAGAUUUAACACGGAGAAAAUUAAGGUAAUCUUGGCAAAUUCUAAAACAGUCCCUUUUCACUUCUGGGAUGUAGGUGUUUAGGACAAAGUAAGGCCACUGUGGAAGUCAUAUGCCAGAUGCACAGAUGGCAUUGUAUUUGUUGUGGACUCUAGAUGUGGAAGGAUGGAAGAAACUAAAACUUAACUUCAUAAAAUAACUAGGAUAUAGAAAACCAAGCAGUCCCUCUACUUAUAGUUGCUAACAGCAAGACUUCAGGAACUCAUUCUCUCAGGAACUGAUACAUUGUUGGCAAGGGGUGAACUGAGCUCAUCAAGUCCUUGGCAUUUGCAGCUUACCUGUGCAAUCAUAGGAGAUGGACUAAAG